Fukomys damarensis (Damara mole-rat) is the source of this 933-nucleotide long non-coding RNA. RefSeq lists it as uncharacterized. The record is from RefSeq and is a predicted model, not a curated record. NCBI's taxonomy places the organism in Eukaryota, Metazoa, Chordata, Mammalia, Rodentia, Bathyergidae. The transcript has 3 exons.
UGGAGCUCAGGAUGACCUUGUGCUUGACAGGCAGGCGCAGUGCCACUGAGCUCAAUCCCCAGCCAGCGCUAUCCAAGUGCUCUUCGAUGACCUGGUCAUACAGCAGUACCGUAUACUCUGUAGUCCAUCUAAGACAGCAGGAGGAGCUGUGAGAGAACCUGGCACAGCCUGGCACAGCAGGUGAAACAGCGUUAGUGCAGGGGAGCAGCACAGCCCGGCAGAAGGAACACCGAGUUUGGAAUUACCAGCAGCUGCUGGCCACGCCGCUAACAAAGGAGACACUGCUGACGUCCUCCACAGACUGAACGCUGCCCCAGAUCGUCAACACCGGAGUGCAACUGAAAUACCACCACGAGUCAGGAAUACUCCGGCUGGAAGAGCAGUGCCUGGCAGAGACACAGAGAAGCAGACAAUUCCAGAGGCCUUGAGGGAGACAUGCACCCGUGGGACAGAGCAGUAGAUGCCAUGCACUACAAAAGCUGGUUUUUUGAGGCAGUCUCACUCUAAUUUAGGCUGGCCUUGAACUCACUAUGUAGCCCAGGCUGGCCUCGAACUUGGAGUAAUCCUCCUGCUGGAAUUACGGGUACGUGCCAUCACACCUGGCAAUUCCUCAUUUUCUAGACUGUCCCUGAUGCUACUGUUAUUACUGAUUUUACUACUUUAGGCAUAGUGACCAGUUGUUGUGAUCAGCUGUUCUUCCUUGUAUGCCAAUAUUGAGAUUGGCUGGGGUUAUAAACAGUACCAUAGUCCAGUACCAUAGAAAUGGGUACAAGGCCAAACAGGCAGCGACCUCUCACAUCCUAAUAAAUGGAAGAAUUAAGAAGUAUCCUGAGACAGACUCCAAGGCCAAAACCCAGUUAUGCCUAGGAGACAUCUCUGAAAAGUAGUCAUUUCCUUAAGAAGUCUCAAUACUAGUAAUAAAGCUACCUGCCA